CUGCGAGUGAAGCGGCAAAAGCUCAAAUUUGAAAUCUGGCAUCUUUUGGUGUCUGAGUUGUAAUUUAGAGGGGCAUUUUCAGGUUUAACACUAUUCUAAGUUCUUUGGAACAGGACAUCAUAGAGGGUGAGAAUCCCGUGCCUGGGUAGUUGUUUAAUCCUAUGUGAAGUGUCUCCGACGAGUCGAGUUGUUUGGGAAUGCAGCUCAAAAUGGGUGGUAAAUUUCAUCUAAAGCUAAAUAUUGGCGAGAGACCGAUAGCGCACAAGUAGAGUGAUCGAAAGAUGAAAAGCACUUUGAAAAGAGAGUUAAAAAGUACGUGAAAUUGUUGAAAGGGAAGCACUUGCGACCAGAAUCAAUCUUUGGGGGUCAUCUGGGUUUCGGCUUAGUGCCAUCCCUAUUGAUUGGGCUAGCAUCGGUUUUGGUGGUAGGAUAAAAGGUUGAGGGAAUGUGGCUCUCCUUGGAGAGUGUUAUAGCCCUUAUCAUAAUACUGCCUACCGGGACCGAGGAUCGCGCUUAAUAAGCUAGGAUGCUGGCAUAAUGGUCUUAAGUGACCCGUCUUGAAACACGGACCAAGGAGUCUAACAUCUAUGCGAGUGUUUGGGUGGAAAACCCUUGCGCGUAAUGAAAGUAAAUGGAGGUGGGAACCUUUUAACAGAGGUGCACCAUCGACCAGUCCUAAUGUUUUACGGAAGGAUCUGAGUAAGAGCAUAGCUGUUGGGACCCGAAAGAUGGUGAACUAUGCCUGAAUAGGGUGAAGCCAGAGGAAACUCUGGUGGAGGCUCGCAGCGGUUCUGACGUGCAAAUCGAUCGUCAAAUUUGGGUAUAGGGGCGAAAGACUAAUCGAACCAUCUAGUAGCUGGUUCCUGCCGAAGU
RNAcentral lists this ribosomal RNA (873 nucleotides) under Trichophaea woolhopeia. RNAcentral's name for it is "eukaryotic LSU rRNA". It matches the Rfam family "Eukaryotic large subunit ribosomal RNA", at positions 87 to 967 of the family's 3401-position model. Lineage: Eukaryota; Fungi; Ascomycota; Pezizomycetes; Pezizales; Pyronemataceae. The record is from RNAcentral.